AGUCGACAAAUAUGAGGCAGAAUUUACACUCAAUAUAAAUUGAAUGUGAUACAUAUCGAGGAAAAAAGAGAAGGAAAAGUAAAUUACAAAAAUACAAACUACUUUAUGUGCCUAUAUAAAGGACAGUAUGGAGAAGUAAGUUUAAGUUUAUUUUUCCGUCUCUUGUCGCAAGUUAUUCCUUUGGCCAAUGCGAAAUGCUGUCAGGACUCGAAAAACAUUGCCCAUUUCAAUUCCAGUUACUUGAACAAUAAUCGAAUUGCUUUGCAGCACUCCAUAAGAGUUCCCGGGUCACGUUCACAUUUCACAGAAAUAAAAGUAAAAAUAAAAAUAAAAUGAAAGCCCAAAGCGGCAACGUUUAUCGAAUUGUGCCAAAUCCAAACAAUUCACACACUUGUGAAUUGGAACAUGCCGCAUGACCAAAUUAUUACCCGAAUGCAGCAAAUGCGGUCAUAUAAAUCAGAAAUAUCAAACUAAACAUAGGCAAUAUACAAAUGCUUUUGUAUGCAGCCAACGAAAACGGACGAGGGGUUGUUGGCGGAGGAAACUUAAUUGCAUUUUGGAAAACGAGUGAAAAUAAUUAAAAAGUAUCUACGUUUUGCUGAACAACGCAAUAAUAAAGUGAAAUUUCCCCAGCGAA
Long non-coding RNA from Drosophila montana, 637 nucleotides. RefSeq lists it as uncharacterized. The transcript has 2 exons. NCBI's taxonomy places the organism in Eukaryota, Metazoa, Arthropoda, Insecta, Diptera, Drosophilidae. The record is from RefSeq and is a predicted model, not a curated record.